CGGGAGCUUGCUCCUUGAUUCAGCGGCGGACGGGUGAGUAAUGCCUAGGAAUCUGCCUGGUAGUGGGGGACAACGUUUCGAAAGGAACGCUAAUACCGCAUACGUCCUACGGGAGAAAGCAGGGGACCUUCGGGCCUUGCGCUAUCAGAUGAGCCUAGGUCGGAUUAGCUUGUUGGUGAGGUAAUGGCUCACCAAGGCGACGAUCCGUAACUGGUCUGAGAGGAUGAUCAGUCACACUGGAACUGAGACACGGUCCAGACUCCUACGGGAGGCAGCAGUGGGGAAUAUUGGACAAUGGGCGAAAGCCUGAUCCAGCCAUGCCGCGUGUGUGAAGAAGGUCUUCGGAUUGUAAAGCACUUUAAGUUGGGAGGAAGGGCAGUAAGUUAAUACCUUGCUGUUUUGACGUUACCGACAGAAUAAGCACCGGCUAACUCUGUGCCAGCAGCCGCGGUAAUACAGAGGGUGCAAGCGUUAAUCGGAAUUACUGGGCGUAAAGCGCGCGUAGGUGGUUUGUUAAGUUGGAUGUGAAAGCCCCGGGCUCAACCUGGGAACUGCAUCCAAAACUGGCAAGCUAGAGUACGGUAGAGGGUGGUGGAAAUUUCCUG
This 605-nucleotide ribosomal RNA is filed under the name Pseudomonas putida. Its description in RNAcentral is "bacterial SSU rRNA". It matches the Rfam family "Bacterial small subunit ribosomal RNA", at positions 73 to 674 of the family's 1533-position model. Lineage: Bacteria; Pseudomonadati; Pseudomonadota; Gammaproteobacteria; Pseudomonadales; Pseudomonadaceae. The record is from RNAcentral.